RNAcentral lists this transfer RNA (68 nucleotides) under Margattea bisignata. RNAcentral's name for it is "tRNA-Ile". The record is from RNAcentral. Lineage: Eukaryota; Metazoa; Arthropoda; Insecta; Blattodea; Pseudophyllodromiidae.
AGUGAAGUGCCUGAUUAAAGGAUUAUUGUGAUAGAAUAAAUAAUGUAGUAUGUAUAUUACCCUCACUA